This 165-nucleotide ribosomal RNA is filed under the name Bacillus paranthracis. RNAcentral describes it as "partial 16S ribosomal RNA". It matches the Rfam family "Bacterial small subunit ribosomal RNA", at positions 1 to 159 of the family's 1533-position model. The record is from RNAcentral. Lineage: Bacteria; Bacillati; Bacillota; Bacilli; Caryophanales; Bacillaceae.
UUUAUUGGAGAGUUUGAUCCUGGCUCAGGAUGAACGCUGGCGGCGUGCCUAAUACAUGCAAGUCGAGCGAAUGGAUUAAGAGCUUGCUCUUAUGAAGUUAGCGGCGGACGGGUGAGUAACACGUGGGUAACCUGCCCAUAAGACUGGGAUAACUCCGGGAAACCG